GGGGGCAUAGCUCAGUUGGGAGAGCAGCAGACUGAAGCAAAUCACAUGCUUUCUGAAGGUCCCGCGUUCAAUCCGCGGUGCCCCCA
Molecule: non-coding RNA, 86 nt
Organism: Tricholoma furcatifolium
Lineage: Eukaryota; Fungi; Basidiomycota; Agaricomycetes; Agaricales; Tricholomataceae
Source: the annotation of a GenBank genome assembly